Molecule: transfer-messenger RNA, 357 nt
Filed under: Roseovarius faecimaris
Lineage: Bacteria; Pseudomonadati; Pseudomonadota; Alphaproteobacteria; Rhodobacterales; Roseobacteraceae
Description: Alphaproteobacteria transfer-messenger RNA
Rfam family: Alphaproteobacteria transfer-messenger RNA
About the family: Bacterial tmRNA, also known as 10Sa RNA or SsrA, is named for its dual tRNA and mRNA-like properties. Its role is to liberate the mRNA from a stalled ribosome.
Source: Rfam by way of RNAcentral
CCCUUUGCAAUCCACGCGGCAAGCCCCUAUAUUCAGAUCGUUGGUUUCGGCCAACUAUGGACAUAAACGCGCUCGUAAUAAGCGGAUCGGACCCGGGGGCGGUACCCGGCGGCUCCACCAUAAAAACCUGUCGUUGGAAGGGGUUAAGGGGCCGAAACAGGAUCGACGAACGUCUAAAGGGGUUUGCUUUGUCCCGGUGAGUUACCACCGUUAUCGGUACACUAAGCAUAAUUGCCAACGACAAUCGUGCUCCGGUUGCUCUCGCAGCGUAAGCUGUUGGAAACACCGAAACUUAAGCCCUUGCCUCUAGCAAGGUAAGGCGGGGUUCGCAGGCACCUGGCAACAGAAGCCUGCACU